UGCCGAAGCAACUAGCCCUGAAAAUGGAUGGCGCUAAAGCUCCGUGCCUAUACCCGGCCGCCGGAAGGCAUAGGCGUGAGCCGCUCUUCUGGGGCGGCGAGCGCGCGAAGCCCCGGCGAGUAGGAGGGCGCGGCGGUGUGCGCGGAAGGGUCUGGGCGCGAGCCUGCCUGGAGCCGCCGCCGGUGCAGAUCUUGGUGGUAGUAGCAAAUACUCAAGCGAGGGCCUUGAGGGCUGAUGUGGAGAAGGGUUUCGUGUGAACAGCCGUUGCACACGAGUCAGUCGAUCCUAAGCCCUAGGAGAAAUCCGAUGUCGAUGCGGGGGGCCGUCUCGCGUUGCUCCCCCUCGAUGGGCGAAAGGGAAUCCGGUUCCUAUUCCGGAACCCGGCAGCGGAACCGAAUCUACGGGCCCUCGUCAGAGAAGCUCGUCGGGGUAACCCAAAGGGACCCGGAGACGCCGUCGGGAGACCCGGGCAGAGUUUUCUGUUCUGCAUAAGCGUUCGAGUUCCCUGGAAUCCUCUAGCAGGGAGAUAGGGUUUGGAACGCGAAGAGCACCGCAGUUGCGGCGGUGUCCGGGUCGUCCCCUCGGACCUUGAAAAUCCGGGAGAGGGUCACGCGGAGGUGUCGCGCCGGCUCGUACCCAUAUCCGCAGCA
Molecule: ribosomal RNA, 650 nt
Filed under: Creobroter apicalis
Lineage: Eukaryota; Metazoa; Arthropoda; Insecta; Mantodea; Hymenopodidae
Description: eukaryotic LSU rRNA
Rfam family: Eukaryotic large subunit ribosomal RNA
Source: RNAcentral